This 497-nucleotide ribosomal RNA is filed under the name uncultured bacterium. RNAcentral's name for it is "partial 16S ribosomal RNA". It matches the Rfam family "Bacterial small subunit ribosomal RNA", at positions 28 to 507 of the family's 1533-position model. The record is from RNAcentral.
GAUGAACGCUGGCGGCGUGCCUAAUACAUGCAAGUCGAGCGAACGGACGAGAAGCUUGCUUUUCUGAUGUUAGCGGCGGACGGGUGAGUAACACGUGGAUAACCUACCUAUAAGACUGGGAUAACUUCGGGAAACCGGAGCUAAUACCGGAUAAUAUUUUGAACCGCAUGGUUCAAAAGUGAAAGACGGUCUUGCUGUCACUUAUAGAUGGAUCCGCGCUGCAUUAGCUAGUUGGUAAGGUAACGGCUUACCAAGGCAACGAUGCAUAGCCGACCUGAGAGGGUGAUCGGCCACACUGGAACUGAGACACGGUCCAGACUCCUACGGGAGGCAGCAGUAGGGAAUCUUCCGCAAUGGGCGAAAGCCUGACGGAGCAACGCCGCGUGAGUGAUGAAGGUCUUCGGAUCGUAAAACUCUGUUAUUAGGGAAGAACAUAUGUGUAAGUAACUGUGCACAUCUUGACGGUACGUAAUCAGAAAGCCACGGCUAACUACGUG